Podarcis lilfordi (Lilford's wall lizard) is the source of this 71-nucleotide non-coding RNA. Lineage: Eukaryota; Metazoa; Chordata; Lepidosauria; Squamata; Lacertidae. The record is from the annotation of a GenBank genome assembly.
GCCAGUGUGGCUUAGUGGUUAGAGUGUUGGUCUAGGACCCGGGAGAGCAGGGUUCGAAUCUCCACUUGGCC